GCGACACUGGUGCCAGUGGACGCGGUACUGCAGAAGGUGCAAAGGUGUCUCGGAAUCACUAGGCGUGAAUGGCGUGCAGGCGGGAAGGAAAGUCAGAUGUGAAAUCCCUGGGCUCAACCCAGGAACUGCAUUUGAAACUCCCGUGCUUGAGUACCGGAGAGGAAAGUGGAAUUCCUGGUGUAGAGGUGAAAUUCGUAGAUAUCAGGAGGAACACCGGUGGCGAAGGUGGCUUUCUGGACGGUAACUGACGCUGAGACGCGAAAGCGUGGGGAGCAAACAGGAUUAGAUACCCGGGUAGUC
This 300-nucleotide ribosomal RNA is filed under the name uncultured Thermodesulfobacterium sp. RNAcentral describes it as "bacterial SSU rRNA". It matches the Rfam family "Bacterial small subunit ribosomal RNA", at positions 496 to 795 of the family's 1533-position model. Lineage: Bacteria; Pseudomonadati; Thermodesulfobacteriota; Thermodesulfobacteria; Thermodesulfobacteriales; Thermodesulfobacteriaceae. The record is from RNAcentral.